Molecule: ribosomal RNA, 403 nt
Filed under: uncultured bacterium
Lineage: Bacteria
Description: partial 16S ribosomal RNA
Rfam family: Bacterial small subunit ribosomal RNA
Source: RNAcentral
AUUGAACGCUGGCGGCAGGCCUAACACAUGCAAGUCGAGCGAGCGGCGGACGGGUGAGUAAUGUAUGGGGACUGCCCGAUAGAGUGGGAUAACUACUGGAAACGGUGGCUAAUACCGCAUACUAUCGGAUAACCCAUAGGGGAUUAGCUAGUAGGUGGGGUAAAGACUCACCUAGGCGACGAUCUCUAGCAGGGCUGAGAGGAUGAUCAGCAACACUGGGACUGAGACACGGACCAGACUCCUACGGAGUCAGCAGUGGGGAAUAUUGCACAAGGGGCGCAAGCCUGAUGCAGCCAUGCCGCGUGUAUGAAGAAGGCCUGAGGGUUGUAAAGUACUUUCAGCGGGGAGGCGUUACCCGCAGAAGAAGCACCGGCUAACUCCGUGCCAGCAGCCGCGGUAAUUC